CUGAUCAAAUGGACCAUCAGGAGGUGGGGGGAGGGGGGGGGCUGCUUUAAACUCGACCAUAAUGACAGCUUUCCUCAUCUUACAACUGCGACAUGAAGAGGGAGCUGUAGCUCUUCUGAGACACAGCUUUGCCUCAACCAGCGUACCCAGCCAAGCGCCCCGAUCUCCUCUCUCCUUCCUCGCUCUCCUCCGCUCCCCUCUCUCCUUCACUCACUCACUUACUCUUCCUUUUUUUUUCUUCUUCUUCUGUUUCUUUUUUUUUUUUAUCCCGGUGCCCCUGUGCCAGUUAAUUUAUAUGUAUCUGUUCAAGUGGAGAUAAUCCAUGCAAAUCAGAGGCUCUGGCUCCCAGUGCUUGAUUCACAAAGAGAACUCAGCUUCAGGAGGUCACUCGUUCACAGCUGCUCCUCCCAUUAUAUUUUUCCCUUAUUGCAGAACUGCUGCAUGUAUACAGUGACUGAAAGGACUCAAUUUACUGCAACUGCUGCCUGGUUUUACUUACAACUUUCUUUAAAAGGGGACUUACCUUCUAUCAGUCUUACUAAGGUCACAGAACUGGCCUGCACCAACCUUCUCCAUAGUUUCAGUAGCUUCUGCACUUCCUGACCACAUUUACAGCAGAUUCUAAUUAUAUCCUGAACUAAAAAGACCAUCUCCAGAUGAUGCUCCUACCAUUCCUCUUUAAUGAGAUAAAUGGCGAAGUGAACCAGCCAGCUUUUAUAAUGUUGUGAAUUUGACCCAGCUUUUGUGUUGUAGAAAAUGAAUAUUAUGUAUUUUGAGUGAAACAGGAAUGGAAUACUGAGGUAGAGUUUGCCAAAUCUUAGGUGAAUAGGUAUUUUGCCUGACUUUAUUGCAUUUUGAUCAUUUCAUGAAUGCCGCAAAAUGCUGACUAGCAUAAUAAAAAUUGAUAUUUAUAUUGACAUUUCAGGAUUCUAAAUAGAAGCUGUGAAAAUCUAAACAGACUUUGGUAUCUCCACAGCUGUUCCUUCAAAUCCAUCUGAGUUCUGGCUAAUUCAUUUUUUCUACCCACAUACCCUCAAUUGGCCCUAAUAUAAACAUCUCUCUCUACAGCAAUUUCUCCCCGGAAGAUUAUGCACAUCUUCAUCUUAAUUCAGAAUUUACAUGCGUACUUUGCAUAUUUUUGCAUCAGUAUGUGUGUUUUAAAUUAGAUAAAGGUCACUGUCAUUCAUAAUCAAGAAGAAGGUGUAUAAAAGGUCAGGAUUCAAUAAAAAAACCUGAUUAGAUGUAGAGGUUUGUUCGUAUGAUUCAGUAUAUCAUUGGAUAAGUGGAAAUCAUGAGUCAACAAAUUAACCUUGGUAUAAUGGGUUACUUGCUUCAUUAGGAUCAGAAAUGAGAUUCACAAUUUUUUUUCCAGUGCACUCCUUGUUUGUCUCUGUAAUAAGAAGAAAUACUGUGGUGUUGAUAGGUACACAACUGAGUAUUUUUAUAAUUUCUCUUGCUUAAAAUGCAAUACAAAUGGCAAUUCUUGUGUUAAAAAAGGAACUGAGGCACCAAAUACAUUUGCUAUGUAUAUAAAUAUCGAUGAAAUGAAAAUUAUCGACUGUAAAAAUAAGCUAAUUUAAAAUAAUGGCAUAUAUUUUUUAUACAAGUUUUAUCUUAAGCAUAUUAAACAACCGGUGAUAAGUCAGGCUCUCAAGGUCUAGCAUUAAGAGGAGAUCCAGAUGCAAAUGAGCGUGAACUAAAAGCAAGGAUAAACCUGCACUCCACAUAUUGGUUCUGCCACCAACUUUCCACAUGUUCUUGGGCAAACCACCUGCAUUGACUAUGCCUCCACUUCCAUCUGCCAUACAGGAAAAACAGUAACAGUGCUUAUACUGCAGGACCAUUUCUGUUUCCGCAGACAUGGAUUUACCAGGAGGUCUAAGGAGAUGUUAGGCUUUUCACCACUGCCCUGUUCCAUACACCGUAUUCCUGGUCACUUAUUGCAGUCAAAAUGGCAGGGCUGUGGACCUCUGCACAUGAAAACAUCUGAGGAUUUUCAGUAAUAUUCUCCAGGAUAGAUGGGAAAUAUCAGAAGUCCUUAUUUAGGAGUCCAUAUUUACAAAAUAAUCUGUCCUAGGAAAGACAGCAUCAUUAAUACAAGAUGAUCAUACCAUAUACUCAACUUCAGACUGUACAAACUUGGUGCAGUUUUCAUGAUUCCACUGUAAACUUUUC
Non-coding RNA from Phalacrocorax carbo (great cormorant), 2175 nucleotides. NCBI's taxonomy places the organism in Eukaryota, Metazoa, Chordata, Aves, Suliformes, Phalacrocoracidae. The record is from RefSeq and is a predicted model, not a curated record.